UUUUGUGUGUGUGUUGGUGUGUAUGUGUGUGUGUGUGUGUGUGUGUGUGUGUGUGUGUGUAUGUGCCUGUGCAUGUUCGUUCCUGCCUGUGUAGGUCGUCGUAUUGAUGCCACAAUGUAUGGAUGAAGAUCAGAGUGACAAGUUAGGGAGCAAUGUUUUCCUUCUACCACGUGUCUCCCAGGAAUCAAACUCAGGUUACAGCAAGCAUCUUCCAGCACCACGUAAUGGUGGCCCAGCCCUUCCCUGGGGGAUUCUAGACAGGAGCUCUCUACCACUGGGCUACUCUCUUAAUCUCUCUCUGGACUCUAGGAAACUGUGCUAGCUGCCUCCCCAGACCCCUUGAGCUUUUUUUGAUCUAGGAACCAGCAUAUCUCGUCGGCAGAAAUGUCACUCCAGAUGGCUAAAUUUGAGUGGAUCUGUUUGUAAGAAUCCUUUAAACUCAGUCCAGGAGUUUGGUUCAGGACCCCAUGGAGGAGCCUCAAUGUCUACUACAUCCCUUGGCACUGUGGAGUCCAGGGAAACCAAUGCUCAUGUGAAGCAGCUAUACGCCGGAAACGGAUCCGCUCAAAGCCUCAUUCCCAACGACCUACUUCCUGUCUUCAGCUUUUCACCACCAAAAGUCCCACUAUUUCCCAAAGGAUGCGACCUGUUGGAGACAACAGAUGUUCAAGCACAUGAACACCUUUCACACCCAAACACAAGGAGCUCAGGACAGGAUAGCAACAGCAGUGUAGAGUGCUCCUGGCAAAGUGCUCAUGAUACCUCCUUGGGCCAAGCUGGUCACCGUGAUGGGCAUGAUAUUGAGGCUGGAGGCUGAUGGUGGAUGAGGGCUGUGGUAUGGAGCGGGAUCCUUCUUCCUAGUGCAGGCAGGUCCUAGGGGCUGCCCUGGCACCCUUACUGGGGCCCCCAAAGGAAGCUCAUCAUGAUCUUCACUGUUCUAGCACGCUAGACGAUCCAUGCUCCUGGCUGGUGGCUGAAGCUAUAAUUAUUGACUAUAGGUUUGCCUAUAGCAGGGAAAAUGCCCAAAUCCAAUUGAUGAGGCUCACAGUGGGAAAGGACUGCCAGUGGAGCCGCCCGGCUUUCCGUUGUCAUGGAAGCGUGGCAUGAGCGGCUGUUGCAGAGGCUUCUAUUUCCUGGGUACCAGGGGAUCCUCCAGGUCAGGAACUGCUCUUUGCUCCCAUGCUACCUGAAAAAUCUGGAACCCCACAGAGAAGAAGGAAAAGGCAGCUUUGGUGUCUUCACCUUCAGGGAAUCCUUUAGAUGCCGCUUUCCAUCACAACAGCGCCACCUGCCAGAUGCAUCUGCGAGCACAUGCAUUUGGAGAAUGGCCUCUAUCAUUCUCUAGAGAUCCUUGCAGAGUCAGGCUGGAGCCCAGAGACUUUGAUUUCCCUAUCUCACACCCCCGUUUCAGGAUUAGUUAGUGGAAAACUGACUACUACAAGGCUGGGAACUGCUGAAUGUAAGUUCUGUGCUCAAGAACUCACCAUGUCCAGUCCUCGGACUAUUUCAGGACGUUUGUUUAUUUUUAUUUAUUUAUGAGAUAAGGCCUUGCUAUGUAGCUAAGGCUGGCCUCUAACUCAUCACUCUUCAUCUUCAGCCACCCAAAAGCUGGGAUUAUAGGCAUACACCUUCGCCACACUCCCACAACUAGGUCAUCUCGGUUUGGCAUGAAAAAGUAGCAACUACCCCUUUGUCCCUUUGAAUAAAAUCUUAGCCACCUCCUCACCCCCCACAUUGCUGGUUCCUCAAUUCACAGACAUCCUACCCCUUGAAUGACUGGUUGGGACUGUGGUAAGGGCUGAUGUGUUCGCUAGGUGGCAGCAUCCACCAGUCUCUGUUGAAGGUUUCUCUACACUAUGUGACCACCACCAGCAACAGGAAUAGACUGGCCAAAACUCAGCUGAGAAGAACUGGAACUCCACUUGCCUCAAUUCUGGGCUCACGCAGCUUAUGCCAUUUGUUAAUGCGUGUGGCCACCCCCAGGAAACUUCAUAUCUUCUUGGUUGUGUUUUGCAUAGUAACAGACCAAAGCAGGGGGAGAGCUAUAUAAACCGUUUGAAAAUUCCAGGUCCUGCUGCCUGUUGUUUCUUGGGGCUGAUGUGCCUUUACUCACUGAACACCCUGACAGAGAAGUCGGUUCAGUCUACUGAGGUGUCGCAGCCCUCAGGGGCUGAGGGAGAUUAUUCUGGGCUAUGGAAUGAAUUCAAGGGUCAGCCUGGGCAACUUAGUGAAGCUAUUUCAAAGUUAAAAUAACAACAACAAAACAACAAAUAAGACUGGGGAGGUAACUCAGGGGGGAGAUUUCCUGCCUAGGUUAGCUGCAUGAGGGGUUGGGGGUGUGACUCAGGGGUAGAGCCCCUGCCUAGAGUCGCCCAGUGAGCAUGAACCAGACAUUUAGUUCAGUCCUAUGUAUCAACCCCCCACCCACCACACACACACACACACUUUGGUCGAGUCAUAGUUUUCCUUAAACUCACAUGGCUCUAGAUCAGCAAAGGACUGACUGGGAUAAAUUUGGCCAGUCACCUGGUCCACAAGCUAACAUGUAUUUGUACCUAAUGUGAAUAUACAGUAAAGGCCAUAUGUCCUGCAGAACUGAAA
Molecule: long non-coding RNA, 2601 nt
Organism: Mus musculus (house mouse)
Lineage: Eukaryota; Metazoa; Chordata; Mammalia; Rodentia; Muridae
Product: predicted gene, 39006
Exons: 2
Source: RefSeq, a predicted model, not a curated record